CAUUGGUGAGAAUCCAAUGCUCCGAAAACCCAAAGGUUCCUCCGCAAGGUUCGUCCACGGAAGGUGAGUCAGGGUCUAAGAUCAGGCCGAAAGGCGUAGUCAAUGGACAACAGGUGAAUAUUCCUGUACUACCCCUUGUUGGUCCCGAGAGACGAAGGAGGCUAGGUUAGCCGAAAGAUGGUUAUCGGUUCAAGGAUGCAAGGUGUCAAUUAGUUUCACUUUCUUAGUUUAUACAAAACCGUUGAUACAACCUAACACUAGCCAACGUUUUUUUUUUAUGGAUCAUAGUAUCUAAAAACGUUAUUGUUGGAUCAAAGUUACAACAAGAA
This 329-nucleotide non-coding RNA is filed under the name Arabidopsis lyrata subsp. lyrata. RNAcentral describes it as "Bacterial large subunit ribosomal RNA". It matches the Rfam family "Bacterial large subunit ribosomal RNA", at positions 1316 to 1616 of the family's 2925-position model. The record is from Rfam by way of RNAcentral. Lineage: Eukaryota; Viridiplantae; Streptophyta; Magnoliopsida; Brassicales; Brassicaceae.